Long non-coding RNA from Felis catus (domestic cat), 760 nucleotides. RefSeq lists it as uncharacterized. NCBI's taxonomy places the organism in Eukaryota, Metazoa, Chordata, Mammalia, Carnivora, Felidae. The transcript has 3 exons. The record is from RefSeq and is a predicted model, not a curated record.
GAGUCCGCGAGAGGUGGGUUGCAGGGAAGAUUGGGAAGAAAAUGGGAAACAGAUCUUUGGAACUGAGGACAAUACUAUAAACGAGCUUUCAGAGUGAAGGCAGCCAGGAAGGGGGGAGGCCAGCAAUUCUAGAGGGAAACCCAACAGCUGCCUCCCAGGAGAAUGAGCCCAUCUGUUUGUUUUACUCUCUCUUAUGGGGUCAGAUCAGGAGAGAAACGCUCCCAGAACCAGAAGCACCCUUUGCCCUCCCACAAAAUGGAAGCUGAGAAGCCAAGUAGGUCACAGUCGCGUCUGGGGCUGCGGUGGGGAAGGCGAGGGAGAUUUUUAGAAAGUGAUGGGACAAGUAGAAAAUCAAAACUGGAAAGGGCCCGGGAAAGGCGCUAGUUCGGUGUCGCCCCUCCCAUCCCUCCCCGGCCCACGCACUUGGGGACAGCAAGGCCCGGAGAAGGGGAGCGAGACCCAGCAGCAGGUGAAGUCUGGGAUUCAUCUUGCUGUUGUGAGCUCCGGACCUAGUGCGCCCAGAGCGACUGAGCCCUACGAGUCCCAGGCAAGAAACACUGGACCAAGAGUCAAGAGGGCGUAGACCGGAGCUUUCUCACCGCUGUUUUUGGCUACCCGAUCCUGGCCGGGGAUGAGACCUCUAUAAACGGUGGUUUAUCCACAGUAAAACCAUAAUAACCACUCUGCCUCCACCAGAGCCUGUUUCGAGAACCAAAUGAGAUAAUAACGGCGAAUAUGUUUUGUAAACGGAAAAACAUUA